AAUGAUGACCCUCUGAUGUUUGAAACUGUGGGGACGAGAAAUUGUGAACGUGCAGGCGUAGGAAAUGCGUGAUGAUCCAGUGUAGAGAGAGGGAUAGAGGGGCCGGACCGCCGGUGGGCGGGUUUGUGAUUUAUGGUUAGGUGGAGUAGUGCAUUAGGACUACGGAAGGAUGUCAUUGAUCCGUUGGAUGAAGAACAUGGACGGUCUAGAUUUGUUAGACCAUGGCCGGUUUUCAGGUCGAUUUGAAGUCCAGAUCCGACUAUUAGACGCAUGUGUCAGCUACUGCCUACAGCGAGGAAUUAGUUGAGGAUGGCAGGUUAUCUUCCCAAAAUAGCUUUGAUCAAGUCAAAAAAAAAAAAAGGCAAAAAUAUUUAAAAACUAACGCCUAUUUUAUUCUCA
Molecule: long non-coding RNA, 399 nt
Filed under: Olea europaea (common olive)
Lineage: Eukaryota; Viridiplantae; Streptophyta; Magnoliopsida; Lamiales; Oleaceae
Description: long non-coding RNA (OEUR_LNC012172)
Source: RNAcentral